This 497-nucleotide ribosomal RNA is filed under the name uncultured bacterium. Its description in RNAcentral is "partial 16S ribosomal RNA". It matches the Rfam family "Bacterial small subunit ribosomal RNA", at positions 28 to 507 of the family's 1533-position model. The record is from RNAcentral.
GAUGGACGCUGGCGGCGUGCCUAAUACAUGCAAGUCGAGCGAACAGACGAGGAGCUUGCUCCUCUGACGUUAGCGGCGGACGGGUGAGUAACACGUGGAUAACCUACCUAUAAGACUGGGAUAACUUCGGGAAACCGGAGCUAAUACCGGAUAAUAUAUUGAACCGCAUGGUUCAAUAGUGAAAGACGGUUUUGCUGUCACUUAUAGAUGGAUCCGCGCCGCAUUAGCUAGUUGGUAAGGUAACGGCUUACCAAGGCAACGAUGCGUAGCCGACCUGAGAGGGUGAUCGGCCACACUGGAACUGAGACACGGUCCAGACUCCUACGGGAGGCAGCAGUAGGGAAUCUUCCGAAAUGGGCGAAAGCCUGACGGAGCAACGCCGCGUGGGUGAUGAAGGUCUUCGGAGCGUAAAACUCUGUUAUUAGGGAAGAACAAAUGUGUAAGUAACUAUGCACGUCUUGACGGUACCUAAUCAGAAAGCCACGGCUAACUACGUG